This 361-nucleotide ribosomal RNA is filed under the name Polypterus retropinnis (West African bichir). RNAcentral describes it as "eukaryotic LSU rRNA". It matches the Rfam family "Eukaryotic large subunit ribosomal RNA", at positions 1 to 353 of the family's 3401-position model. Lineage: Eukaryota; Metazoa; Chordata; Cladistia; Polypteriformes; Polypteridae. The record is from RNAcentral.
UUGAUCGACCUCAGCUCAGACGUGACGACCCGCUGAAUUUAAGCAUAUUACUAAGCGGAGGAAAAGAAACUAACCAGGAUUCCCUCAGUAACGGCGAGUGAAGAGGGAAGAGCCCGCGCCGAAUCCCCGCCCGCCCCUACCCGGGCGUGGGAAAUUGGCGUACGGAGACCGCCUUCCCGGUGUCGACGGGGGCCCAAGUCCUUCUGAUCGAGCCCCCGUGGACGGUGUGAGGCCGGUGGCGGCCCUCGUCGCGCCGGGAUCAGGUCUCCUUGGAGUCGGGUUGUUUGGGAAUGCAGCCCAAAGCGGGUGUAAACUCCAUCCAGGCUAAAUACCGGCACAGACCGAUAGCCAACAAGUACCG